UUUUCGCAAUGCCCGAAAGGGUGACGAAGCGACGCCGCGUGGGUGAGGAAGGCCUUCGGGUUGUAAAGCCCUGUCAGGAGUUAAGAAAUGUAGAUUCGCUAAUAUCGGGUCUAUUUGACAAAGGCUCCAAAGGAAGCCACGGCUAACUCUGUGCCAGCAGCCGCGGUAAUACAGAGGUGGCAAGCGUUGUUCGGAAUUAUUGGGCGUAAAGAGCACGUAGGUGGAUUUGUAAGUCAGAUGUGAAAGCCUUCUGUUCAACGGAAGAAUUGCAUCUGAAACUACAAACCUUGAGUGUAGGAGGGGAGAAUGGAACUUCUGGUGGAGCGGUGAAAUGCGUAGAUAUCAGAAGGAACGCCGGCGGCGAAAGCGAUUCUCUGGCCUAUUACUGACACUCAGUGUGCGAAAGCUAGGGGAGCAAACGGGAUUAGAUACCCCGGUAGUCCUAGCCGUAAACGAUGGGCACUAAGUAGAGGGGUU
This 477-nucleotide ribosomal RNA is filed under the name uncultured anaerobic ammonium-oxidizing bacterium. RNAcentral describes it as "bacterial SSU rRNA". It matches the Rfam family "Bacterial small subunit ribosomal RNA", at positions 363 to 830 of the family's 1533-position model. The record is from RNAcentral.